Molecule: ribosomal RNA, 473 nt
Filed under: uncultured bacterium
Lineage: Bacteria
Description: bacterial SSU rRNA
Rfam family: Bacterial small subunit ribosomal RNA
Source: RNAcentral
AGAGUUUGAUCCUGGCUCAGGAUGAACGCUGGCGGUAUGCUUAACACAUGCAAGUCGAACGGAAUCUUUCGGGAUUUAGUGGCGGACGGGUGAGUAACGCGUGAGAAUCUAGCUUCAGGUUCGGGACAACCACUGGAAACGGUGGCUAAUACCGGAUGCGCCCUAGGGUAAAAGGUUAACUGCCUGAAGAUGAGCUCGCGUCUGAUUAGCUAGAUGGUGAGGUAACGGCUCACCAUGCCGACGACGGGUCGGGGGUCUGAGAGGAUGGCCCCCCACACUGGGACUGAGACACGGCCCAGACUCCUACGGGAGGCAGCAGCAAGGGAUUUUCCCCAAUGGGCGCAAGCCUGAGGGAGCAACGCCGCGUGGGGGACGACGGCCUUCGGGUUGUAAACCCCUUUUGCGGGGGACGAAACUGACGGUACCCCGCGAAGAAGCCUCGGCUAACUCCGUGCCAGCCGCCGCGGUAAUAC